GACGAACGCUGGCGGCGUGCUUAACACAUGCAAGUCGAACGGAAAGGCCCUGCUUUUGUGGGGUGCUCGAGUGGCGAACGGGUGAGUAACACGUGAGUAACCUGCCCUUGACUUUGGGAUAACUUCAGGAAACUGGGGCUAAUACCGGAUAGGAGCUCCUGCUGCAUGGUGGGGGUUGGAAAGUUUCGGCGGUUGGGGAUGGACUCGCGGCUUAUCAGCUUGUUGGUGGGGUAGUGGCUUACCAAGGCUUUGACGGGUAGCCGGCCCGAGAGGGUGACCGGCCACAUUGGGACUGAGAUACGGCCCAGACUCCUACGGGAGGCAGCAGUGGGGAAUAUUGCACAAUGGGCGGAAGCCUGAUGCAGCAACGCCGCGUGCGGGAUGACGGCCUUCGGGUUGUAAACCGCUUUCGCCUGUGACGAAGCGUGAGUGACGGUAAUGGGUAAAGAAGCACCGGCUAACUAUGUG
RNAcentral lists this ribosomal RNA (468 nucleotides) under uncultured bacterium. RNAcentral describes it as "partial 16S ribosomal RNA". It matches the Rfam family "Bacterial small subunit ribosomal RNA", at positions 28 to 507 of the family's 1533-position model. The record is from RNAcentral.